UAUAACGGUCCUAAGGUAGCGAAAUUCCUUGUCGGGUAAGUUCCGACCUGCACGAAUGGCGUAAUGAUGGCCAGGCUGUCUCCACCCGAGACUCAGUGAAAUUGAACUCGCUGUGAAGAUGCAGUGUACCCGCGGCAAGACGGAAAGACCCCGUGAACCUUUACUAUAGCUUGACACUGAACAUUGAGCCUUGAUGUGUAGGAUAGGUGGGAGGCUUUGAAGUGUGGACGCCAGUCUGCAUGGAGCCGACCUUGAAAUACCACCCUUUAAUGUUUGAUGUUCUAACGUUGGCCCGUUAUCCGGGUUGCGGACAGUGUCUGGUGGGUAGUUUGACUGGGGCGGUCUCCUCCUAAAGAGUAACGGAGGAGCACGAAGGUUGGCUAAUCCUGGUCGGACAUCAGGAGGUUAGUGCAAUGGCAUAAGCCAGCUUGACUGCGAGCGUGACGGCGCGAGCAGGUGCGAAAGCAGGUCAUAGUGAUCCGGUGGUUCUGAAUGGAAGGGCCAUCGCUCAACGGAUAAAAGGUACUCCGGGGAUAACAGGCUGAUACCGCCCAAGAGUUCAUAUCGACGGCGGUGUUUGGCACCUCGAUGUCGGCUCAUCACAUCCUGGGGCUGAAGUAGGUCCCAAGGGUAUGGCUGUUCGCCAUUUAAAGUGGUACGCGAGCUGGGUUUAGAACGUCGUGAGACAGUUCGGUCCCUAUCUGCCGUGGGCGCUGGAGAACUGAGGGGGGCUGCUCCUAGUACGAGAGGACCGGAGUGGACGCAUCACUGGUGUUCGGGUUGUCAUGCCAAUGGCACUGCCCGGUAGCUAAAUGCGGAAGAGAUAAGUGCUGAAAGCAUCUAAGCACGAAACUUGCCCCG
This 861-nucleotide ribosomal RNA is filed under the name Escherichia coli. RNAcentral describes it as "partial 23S ribosomal RNA". It matches the Rfam family "Bacterial large subunit ribosomal RNA", at positions 1941 to 2801 of the family's 2925-position model. Lineage: Bacteria; Pseudomonadati; Pseudomonadota; Gammaproteobacteria; Enterobacterales; Enterobacteriaceae. The record is from RNAcentral.